Micropterus dolomieu (smallmouth bass) is the source of this 514-nucleotide long non-coding RNA. RefSeq lists it as uncharacterized. Lineage: Eukaryota; Metazoa; Chordata; Actinopteri; Centrarchiformes; Centrarchidae. The transcript has 3 exons. The record is from RefSeq and is a predicted model, not a curated record.
GCAGAUCAUUUACCUGAAUAUGGUCAGAGACGAUAACAAAACAACACUCACUCACUCAAAUUUCAGACACAACUAACGCAGAUUUUGUACCUCGAACAACACUAACUUGCAGAUACUGGUGACUCAUUCAGGACCAUCACUAACAGCUUCUGUGUUGGGGUCUCCACCGUCUCCAAUAUUCCAAUAGUCCCUGAUGUCCUGACUGCUAUUUGGGACUGCCUUGUAGAGGAGAUCAUGGCUGUGCCCACUUAUCAGUGGAAUCUGGCAGCGAUGGGAAAGCACAGGCCCACAGCUGGGUAGAGAAGUCCUCUGAGCUGUCCUGUUUACUGUGGCACUGGAGGACGUGGAGAGGCUUCAGAUGCACCGGCUGCUGGAGGAAGGAAACAUGGACAAAGAGGAAGAUGGACAUGGGGAGAUGAGAGUUGAGAAAGAAGAGACUUUAAUGCCAUUCUGAUAAUACCGAUAUGUGGUCAUUCAACAUUACUGUGUAGAAAUAAAGCUGACUUGCAUCCAA